Molecule: transfer RNA, 60 nt
Filed under: Cyamus ovalis
Lineage: Eukaryota; Metazoa; Arthropoda; Malacostraca; Amphipoda; Cyamidae
Also listed under: 3 other names
Description: tRNA-Asp
Source: RNAcentral
UAAAAACUAGUUAAAAAAUAACAUUAACUUGUCAAGUUAAAAUUACUAAAGUGUUUUUAU